This 22-nucleotide microRNA is filed under the name Monodelphis domestica (gray short-tailed opossum). RNAcentral's name for it is "mdo-miR-7355-5p". Lineage: Eukaryota; Metazoa; Chordata; Mammalia; Didelphimorphia; Didelphidae. The record is from miRBase by way of RNAcentral.
UAGGGGAAAGUAAGAUGAAGGA